Non-coding RNA from Erinaceus europaeus (western European hedgehog), 69 nucleotides. The record is from Rfam. NCBI's taxonomy places the organism in Eukaryota, Metazoa, Chordata, Mammalia, Eulipotyphla, Erinaceidae.
GAGGAUUUAGCAUAAUAAAAGUAAUUGAUUUGCAUUCAAUUGAUAUAGGAUAUAAUCUUGUAAUCCUAA